GUACAAUUGUUCUGGUUUUAGCAGCUUCAAACAGUUUAUCAGUGAUUGUGAUCAUAGUUCUGGGCUCACAGUUGUACAAGCACCAGCGAAAAGACGAGAUCCCGUAUAUUGUGCUCGAUCAAUCAGUGGCUGAUGACAUCACUACUACAGUCGAUUAUACAACCUACCAAAAACGUCUUUAACCUUUAGAAGGCUUGAGGAAUAAAACUGGCAGAACAAAUGAGACACGAAGUUUGACUUUCACCUUUCACUUUUCAUCAUGUUUUUUAGCAGUUGGUCGAAAGAAUAAAAUCAACUUUUUUGAAUGAUUACAGCACAUACCUUAGUAAAAAAUAGGACAUGAAUUUACAAUAAUUGUCUCCUUUGGUUUUGCAUUUUGUUUAUGUUUUAUAUCUUUUAUUUUGUAAUUUGGCAUAGUCAUGUUUUCUUGGUUUGUCAUGUGACCCCCUUGCCCUUCAUGUGAUCUUUUCCUGUGCUCCUUAGUACUUGUAUCAUGUUCUGAUUGGUUUCCU
Molecule: long non-coding RNA, 512 nt
Organism: Megalobrama amblycephala (Wuchang bream)
Lineage: Eukaryota; Metazoa; Chordata; Actinopteri; Cypriniformes; Xenocyprididae
Exons: 3
Source: RefSeq, a predicted model, not a curated record